AUUGAACGCUGGCGGCAGGCCUAACACAUGCAAGUCGAACGAGUGGCGGACGGGAGAGUAAUGUCUGGGAAACUGCCUGAUGGAGGGGGAUAACUACUGGAAACGGUAGCUAAUACCGCAUACCAUCAGAUGUGCCCAGAUGGGAUUAGCGAUUUGGUGGGGUAACUGCUCACCACGGCGACGAUCCCUAGCUGGUCUGAGAGGAUGACCAGCCACACUGGAACUGAGACACGGUCCAGACUCCUACGGGAGGCAGCAGUGGGGAAUAUUGCACAAUGGGGGCAAGCCUGAUGCAGCCAUGCCGCGUGAAUGAGGAAGGCCUUCGGGUUGUAAAGUACUUGCAGCGGGGAGGCGUUACCUGCAGAAGAAGCACCGGCUAACUCCGUGCCAGCAGCCGCGGUAAUAC
RNAcentral lists this ribosomal RNA (406 nucleotides) under uncultured bacterium. RNAcentral's name for it is "partial 16S ribosomal RNA". It matches the Rfam family "Bacterial small subunit ribosomal RNA", at positions 30 to 526 of the family's 1533-position model. The record is from RNAcentral.